GGAUAGGAUUUUUUUCCUUUCAUGGGGAGAUGAUUGAAAAGAUGGUUUUCGGCUAUCACUUACAGAUGGGCCCCGCGGUGCAUUAGCUAGUUGGUGAGGUAACGGCUCACCAAGGCAACGAUGCAUAGCCGACCUGAGAGGGUGAUCGGCCACGCUGGGACUGAGACACGGCCCAGACUCCUACGGGAGGCAGCAGUAGGGAAUCUUCCGCAAUGGACGAAAGUCUGACGGAGCAACGCCGCGUGAGUGAUGAAGGCUUUCGGGUCGUAAAACUCUGUUGUUAGGGAAGAACAAGUACGAGAGUAACUGCUCGUACCUUGACGGUACCUAACCAGAAAGCCAC
Molecule: ribosomal RNA, 343 nt
Filed under: uncultured soil bacterium
Lineage: Bacteria
Description: bacterial SSU rRNA
Rfam family: Bacterial small subunit ribosomal RNA
Source: RNAcentral